AGUGAACGCUGGCGGCGUGCUUAACACAUGCAAGUCGAACGAGAACGGAAUAUAGCUUGCUAUAUUUGUCAGCUAAGUGGCGCAUGGGUGAGUAAUGUAUAGAUAACCUGCCCUUAAGAAAGGAAUAACAGUUGGAAACGACUGCUAAUGCCCUAUAUGCCUUUACUACAUAAGUAUGCAAGGGAAACGCUUUAGUGCUUAAGGAUGGGUCUGUAUGGUAUCAGCUUGUUGGUGAGGUAAUGGCUCACCAAGGCUAUGACGCCUAACUGGUUUGAGAGGAUGAUCAGUCACACUGGAACUGAGACACGGUCCAGACUCCUACGGGAGGCAGCAGUGGGGAAUAUUGCACAAUGGACGAAAGUCUGAUGCAGCAACGCCGCGUGGAGGAUGACACAUUUCGGUGCGUAAACUCCUUUUAUAUAGGAAGAUAAUGACGGUACUAUAUGAAUAAGCACCGGCUAACUCCGUGCCAGCCGCCGCGGUAA
This 485-nucleotide ribosomal RNA is filed under the name uncultured bacterium. Its description in RNAcentral is "partial 16S ribosomal RNA". It matches the Rfam family "Bacterial small subunit ribosomal RNA", at positions 29 to 523 of the family's 1533-position model. The record is from RNAcentral.